GGAGAGAUGGCUGAGUGGCUUAAGGCGUCAUGUUACUAAUCUAUUGUAUGAGCUAUUUGUAUCGAGGGAUCGAGUCCCUCUCUCUCUG
This 88-nucleotide transfer RNA is filed under the name Amborella trichopoda. It matches the Rfam family "tRNA". From Rfam's summary of the family: Transfer RNA (tRNA) molecules are approximately 80 nucleotides in length. Their secondary structure includes four short double-helical elements and three loops (D, anti-codon, and T loops). The record is from Rfam by way of RNAcentral. Lineage: Eukaryota; Viridiplantae; Streptophyta; Magnoliopsida; Amborellales; Amborellaceae.